Molecule: long non-coding RNA, 403 nt
Organism: Daphnia magna
Lineage: Eukaryota; Metazoa; Arthropoda; Branchiopoda; Diplostraca; Daphniidae
Exons: 3
Source: RefSeq, a predicted model, not a curated record
GGUUAGCUUUGAUAGUCAGAGUAAAUAUUCCUUCGAAUGCUAGCACCAGCAACGAGAUCGACAGGUACCAAUAGGCAGGAUCGUCCUUAAUGGUCGUGACUCUCCAUAUCGCUGUGAAAUGACCUGGGAUGUUCCCGACUGUUGACGAAAAAAUUCAUUUUCUGAGGGCGCCACAUUUUUCGGCGCAUGACGGCCAUUGCUUGUAGAUGAUCCACUAGAUCGACUUCGUACAUAUAUCCAAAACCCUUUGGUGAUUAACGACGUGCUGGCAGCCACAGCGAUUGGCAACCUUUUCUCAACAUGAGUUAUUGAUUAUCCAGUUUGAAAACGUUAUGUUACGGCUAAAACAGUGUGAGAUCUGCAUUCGUUUCUAUAAGCUAUACAUCUAUCCUUUCUGAAUGGC